RNAcentral lists this ribosomal RNA (460 nucleotides) under uncultured bacterium. RNAcentral's name for it is "partial 16S ribosomal RNA". It matches the Rfam family "Bacterial small subunit ribosomal RNA", at positions 338 to 795 of the family's 1533-position model. The record is from RNAcentral.
CCUACGGGCGGCAGCAGUGAGGAAUAUUGGUCAAUGGACGAGAGUCUGAACCAGCCAAGUAGCGUGAAGGAUGACUGCCCUAUGGUUUGUAAACUUCUUUUAUAUGGGAAUAAAAUGUUCCACGUGUGGGAUUAUGUAUGUACCAUAUCAAUCAAGAUCGGCUAACUCCGUGCCAGCAGCCGCGGUAAUACGGAGGCUCCGAGCGUUAUCCGGAUUUAUUGGGUUUAACGGGAGCGUAGGUGGAUUGUUAAGUCAGUUGUGAAAGUUGGCGGCUGAACCGUAAAAUUGCAGUUGAAACUGGCAGUCUUGAGUACAGUAGAGGUAGGCGGAAUUCGUGGUGUAGGGGUGAAAUGCUUAGAUAUCACGAAGAACACCGAUUGCGAAGGCAGCUCACUGGACUGCAACUGACACUGAGGCUCGAAAGUGUGGGUAUCAAACAGGAUUAGAUACCCUAGUAGUC